Molecule: long non-coding RNA, 1605 nt
Organism: Anguilla rostrata (American eel)
Lineage: Eukaryota; Metazoa; Chordata; Actinopteri; Anguilliformes; Anguillidae
Exons: 2
Source: RefSeq, a predicted model, not a curated record
GUCUGGGGUGCAGUGGCCUUGUGCUGCCACUAGAAGGCACCUGGCGUCUGGGAAUUUCUUAAUUUGUUUUAGGUUCCCGGUAUUUUUACUUUUAUUUUGAGCUUGUGUGAGCCGUUGGGUAUUGGGACAUUGUCCCUGGUAUUGUAUUUUGUUUGUGUCUUUCUGAGCUGCGUCUCAGGCUUUUUCUUUUCGCUGAGUAAUUUUGCUACUCAGUUGUCUUUAUUUUUUAAGACCAGUUUUGGGUUUGGGACCGGAGCUUCGCCUCUGUACCACUGGUCCCUUUUCUUUUUCGCCCUGGUUUGUACGUGUAGUUGUUGGUUUCUCGAGCCAGUUUAACGGCUGGACAAGGUUGUCCUUCGGAGUCCUUUUUUAUUCCGUGUUUUCUUUUGGUUUAUGAUCCUGUGUGUGCGGGAGUUUCUCUCCCAAGGAUCUUAUUUUGUGUUAUUUUCUGGUGUUCUCUUUCCUUUGUCCUUCGGGACUUUGUGGUUAACGCUUCCUGUAGCGUUAGCUUUUCGUUCCCCUGUAUUAGUCGGUUCUCCGACACCCCCCCACCCCCACCCCACCCCACCAUUAUAAUACAAUGUAUCAAAGAAGAAAGGCACAAGGCACUCUCCUGUCCAGAAUAAUGUAUAAAAAGCCUUUAACAUGAUAGCACUCAUGACUGAAUAUUUGAAAUGAUGAUGUAAAAAAAGAGCUGCCGUUCGUGCGUGGCGGAAAAAAUAGCCUCAGGGCAUGGCGUGGGGCUCUCCCUUCUGCUGCCUGCACCAGUUAAUAACACACAGCUGCACCGAGGACCGGCAAACGCUCGGGUGGCGAUGGAAGAAUCAGACCACCGGAAGGGAAGUAAACAGUCGAGGAAAAGAUAGUCGAUGUGUAAGAAUAACAGAACGUUCGUACUGUACUAACAGAACGUUCUUACUGUACUUGGUGUAGGCUGCCUGUGCGAUUGUGUUCUGAAGCAGGCUGGUUUUUUUUUCCAGCUACGCAUGGGCUGUAGAACUUCUUUAUAUCAUUUUAAAUGUUUCAUCAUGAAACAGCCAUCAUGUUAAAGGCUUUUUAUAUUUUUUUACAGAGAGAAAAGUGCCCUGAAUUUUUCCUCUUUGAUGAAAUAUAAUUUGCAAAGCAAAUUUAUGUAUAUUCACAUUAUAGAUGCAAGAGACCCUUUUACUUCAACUUCUUUGAAUGCUCAUUUAAUUCUCAUUUACAUUGUACAUAAUAUCUUUUCAUUUAAAGUGAAUACUACAUUUGCAAUAUUUCAUAUGGAUAUACCUCUGACAUACGGUAUACACAGAAAACAGUAUAUACAGUACCAAUAAAUAACAUAACAGAUGCAACAAAAUUUAAAAAAUUUAGUUAGAAUUUGCAGAUACAGCACAUAUAUAAGUGGAGUUCCCAUGAAGUGCACAUUUAUAUUUAAGUAAGAACUUACCUGAGCUCUGUGGAGGACAGUAGCUUGGUGUGUGAGGUGGAAAGUGCAAGCUGAUGGUCCUUUAUAUAGUCCAAUAACUCAGGCUGGGAGAGGCUAGAGGCUGCUUUUACAGAGAAAGGAAAGUGAAACUGACUGAUUUCCCCAAGCUCUCCCUCUGCUGUUCCACAGGCAGCAAA